Molecule: ribosomal RNA, 248 nt
Filed under: uncultured bacterium
Lineage: Bacteria
Description: partial 16S ribosomal RNA
Rfam family: Bacterial small subunit ribosomal RNA
Source: RNAcentral
UAACACGUGGAUAACCUGCCUCAAGGCUGGGGAUAACAUUUGGAAACAGAUGCUAAUACCGAAUAAAACUUAGUAUCGCAUGAUAUCAAGUUAAAAGGCGCUACGGCGUCACCUAGAGAUGGAUCCGCGGUGCAUUAGUUAGUUGGUGGGGUAAAGGCUUACCAAGACGAUGAUGCAUAGCCGAGUUGAUAGACUGAUCGGCCACAUUGGGACUGAGACACGGCCCAAACUCCUACGGGAGGCAGCAG